RNAcentral lists this unclassified non-coding RNA (559 nucleotides) under Hevea brasiliensis (rubber tree). Lineage: Eukaryota; Viridiplantae; Streptophyta; Magnoliopsida; Malpighiales; Euphorbiaceae. The record is from RNAcentral.
UUUUAUAAUACUCUGUUGGAAAUUUACUUACACGUUUCUAUUUGUUUUUCCCCCUCUCAUUGGAUGGAUUUAGUAGUCUGUGGUGGUUAUUUUCUUUGUUAAUUUUCCUGGAAAAUGUAUGAUCUAAGUAUUUGAACCCAUGUGGUGAAUUGGGUAUUUUUUUUUAAUUUUUUAUGUUUGACCUUUCUGGGUUUGAAGCAGUGUCGCUUGCGUAAAGAACUGCGGAUUUAUUUCUUUGUUUUGUAUUUUUCCCCUCUUAGGCAAGUACGUGUAUUUUUGUACUGGUUUUGCUUUCAAUAGCAAUGAAUCUGUUUUUAGUUCUUCUCCCUUCAAAAUGAAUGUUAUUAUCAUAUAUAUUUUGUACGGGUGAACUGUAUCAUGAAUAGGUAUAAUGUACACUUUGUUUUAGCGAAACAUGUAGGAGCUGUCAGAGUUUAUGGUGAUGGAUUAGCGGGUUUAUUGUCAGUUGUUAGAAUUUAUAUGUAUUAAGGGUUAAUUACUUGAUAUGCAGCAAAUUCAGGACUUGAAUGUGAGCUUGCUUUUUUCCGCUGUUUUGGGG